UUAAAGCUAAAUCCUAAGCCCCUAAGCAAACUCUCACCAUACAUUAGUAGUUUUGAAGCUCUUUUUUUUUUCUUUCUAAAACCUCUUUCUCUUUGUUUUUCUUUUCCUUUAAUUUUCUCAUCUUCUUCACCAACCAUGAACCAAACCUAAUUGCUAGCUUUCAGAGAUUCAUAUCCCACAGCCCCAAAUCUCUUGUUCUCUUCCUCAAAUGGGAUGGUUCAAAUCCUUCCUCAUUUCACCUUUCAAGAAGCUUUGGGAUCGUCUUCACUCCCCUCACAAAUCAAACCGAAAAGGAAUCUACAUUUUGUAUAAAGAUGUGAAGUCUUGCCCUUGUGAAGAUGUUCAAAUGCUUUGGUCCAUUCUCGUGCAGUCUGCCUCUCCUCCUAAUUCACCAUUACCAUCAUGAAGUCGAGCUUUUCUCCGUUGCCAAAAGAUGGCGAUCCUUCGUAUAGAGAACACCGAUCGACUUAUCAUACUACGUAUGCUUUGAUGCAUUUUGUAAAUUCUUUCAACUUCUUUUCUGCUUCUUCUUCUCUUCCCCUUUCUAUUAACCAUAUGGAAAUAUACAUAAUUUUACAAUUCACACCAGAAAAAUGGUGGAUUAAUCGAUACAAACCAAGCGUUAAAGAGUCUAAAUUGAUAUUUUUCCUUAAAA
Molecule: long non-coding RNA, 655 nt
Organism: Cucumis sativus (cucumber)
Lineage: Eukaryota; Viridiplantae; Streptophyta; Magnoliopsida; Cucurbitales; Cucurbitaceae
Exons: 2
Source: RefSeq, a predicted model, not a curated record